RNAcentral lists this ribosomal RNA (372 nucleotides) under uncultured organism. RNAcentral's name for it is "bacterial SSU rRNA". It matches the Rfam family "Bacterial small subunit ribosomal RNA", at positions 526 to 896 of the family's 1533-position model. The record is from RNAcentral.
CAGAGGGUGCAAGCGUUGUUCGGAAUUAUUGGGCGUAAAGCGCGUGUAGGCGGCUUUGCAAGUCGGGUGUGAAAGCCCUCGGCUCAACCGAGGAAGUGCGCCCGAAACUGCAGAGCUUGAGUACCGGAGAGGAUGGCGGAAUUCCCCAAGUAGAGGUGAAAUUCGUAGAUAUGGGGAGGAACACCGGUGGCGAAGGCGGCCAUCUGGACGGAUACUGACGCUGAGACGCGAAAGCGUGGGUAGCAAACAGGAUUAGAUACCCUGGUAGUCCACGCUGUAAACGAUGAGAACUAGGUGUCGUGGGUGUUGACCCCCGCGGUGCCGUAGCUAACGCAUUAAGUUCUCCGCCUGGGAAGUACGGUCGCAAGACUA